This 705-nucleotide long non-coding RNA is filed under the name Gallus gallus (chicken). Lineage: Eukaryota; Metazoa; Chordata; Aves; Galliformes; Phasianidae. The record is from RNAcentral.
UGUUGGCCACCCUGCACAUAGCAGGGGGUUGGCACUGUUUGAGCAUUGUGGUCCUUUUCAACCCAGGCCGUUCUAUCAGUCUAUGAUGCUUACAGCCAGACAGCAGAUUAUUUUGCCCCCUCAUUGAACAGUUACCAAACAGAAGAGAGACACCGAGCAGUUUAUUUGACAUUGCUGCCGACCACAGUAUAAUACAACACAUGUGGAUAACUCUGGCCAAAGCAUACAGUCUGCACGGCUGUUUUACGCCAGAGGCAAACGACAUCCAGCAGCAGCUUAGUCAUCGUCCUUCAGCUUCUUGAUCUUGUGCUUGUGGCGCUCGAUCUCUUUCUGCAGCCGCUCGAUCUCCUUCUUGUGGUGAUCGAUCUCCUCCUCGUGGUGUCUCCUUAAGGCCGCCAGCUGCUCCCGCUCCUUCUCCCUGAAGUAGCGCUCCUCCUCGGCCGCCUGCUUCUUGCCGAAGGCCCCUCCGGCCUCGCGGAUGGAGCCGCCGCCACCGCCGCCCUUCCCGGCGCCUUUGCCCAGCUCGCCCAGCUGGUCGGCGCCCGAGCCCGAGCUCCACGCGCGCUGCUGCUGCUGCGCCAGGAGGGCCCCGCGCAGGCCGCCCCGCAGCGCCAACACGGCCGCCAUGUCCGCCUGCCCUUGGAGCGCCGCGCGGACGGGGCGCGAGGGGCGGGGCCGGCACCGCGCCCAACCCGGCUGAGCGGG